AAGGAAGUUGACCUGCGAUCGACAGAAGGUCGCUAUGUCUCCUCUGAAACAAUACCGGACGUGAACUUGGGAAGUGAUGAUCCUUCCUCUCAAGGACACACAGAACAAAGUAGUGUAAACAGGCCGGCAGAGAGCAUGUUGAGUCUGGUUCAAGAGUCAGCCAGUGAGCCGGCUGAUUCGAAUAUAACGGUUGUGAGGGAAGAGACACUGUCGGAAGGGCUUGCAAUAGUUUCGAUUCAAGUUUUUGUGCCAGUGUCCCAAACAACCACUGUGCCGGAAUUUGAAGAAAACACCUGAGACAGAUUUUGAACCAACCCCUCUGCUACAAAUUGAAGAAACUACAAAAACCACUCCUGAACCCCCCUAACAACUUGAAGAAAGCACACCCACGCUUCUCCCAGCUCCAUCUAAAAUUUAUCCAGCCGCAGAAGACGCUGUUGCGCUAAUGAUGAUGGCACAGACAGCAUCAUAUGUUCCUAAAACAGAUCCAAUGCCAUCAUUUAGCCUUGGCUUGACUGAUUCAAGCCAAGAAGAAGCAGCAACGCAGGAGGGAGCGUCAAUGCAGGAGGCAGACAGGGCAAAAACUCCAAAAACUGCAAAUUUGCUAGAACAAUUAGAGGAAAGUAAAAGUCCACAAAUUCAAAAGGAGACUGGCGGAGAAAGUUCUGGGAAGUUUAAAACUUCUGCGGGAAUAAAUCAAAAUACGGGUGAUAUGAAAGAGAAGUGCUACAUCUGGGCGAUGCGAGUGAAGACAUACGCAGAUGGCAAAACUAACGAGUUUGACAAUGUGUGCACUUUGAUUGCCCAAGAUAAAUACAUAUUGUCUAGAAAUGCACCUUGCAUCGCUCGAGGCAGGAAGUUAUAUAGAAGCUGAGAUUGUAUCUGCCAUGUGCCUCAUCCUCAACCAGAAAAAUGAUAAAAGAUUUCGAGAACAAGUAUACUGUCUCCCCCCUGAUAUUGUGAACAUGGCCAUUUCGAAGCACCCAAACGGGAAAUUCAUAUCACCCAAAACCAAUAAAGAAUUCAGGGUGGAAGACUACCCAAUGUUUAUUCCCUUCAUAGAUGCAAAAAAAUUAACUUCGCAUCGAUAUAUAAGUUUUCAUUUGUAAAAUUUGUUAGUACCGUUAUUUACUUAUAUGCCAAAUAAAAUAAUACACUGUUGAAAUGUGGUAAUCCUUCAGAUUUUUGUGCCUGUUUGCUAUUCAGGCCAUUGGUGGUUAUGGGUGAUUGAUACAACAAAGCGGAGAUUUUAUAUACUUGACCCGCUACACAAGAAAGCUCCAACCAAUGAGAGAAAGCAGCUUAAUAAAUUUACUGGAUAUGUAAUUUCAAGAAUUAAAGCAUAUGUCGGCGGGGCACCUCUGAAGAAAAAGGAGAAUGAGUUGGAAAUUAAAGCAACAUACGUUAAUAUCUCAGGCCAAAAAUCAAGCUAUGACUGUGCUAUUUACGUUAUGAAGUGGUUUGAGUUAAUUGAGCCCGAAAAUAUUAAAAGGGCGAAGUAUGAAUGAGAUAAUUGGCCACAGGACGAGGUGGACCACUAUAGAGUAGAAUAUGCUUCGCGGAUACUAUUCAGUGAAAUGAAUAAAGAGAGAAAUCAAGCAAUUAGAGCGAGUAAUGCAAUAAGACUGUCCAAGCCAUCCUCAGUAUUAUUGAGUCCAUUUUGUCAGAUAAAUUCUACUGAUAUAGAAACUGAGUAACUUAACUGCUAGCUAGUUUGUAAAUUGAACAAAUGCUGUAAAAAUUUGCCAUUUAUAAACAACUUCUAUUCAAUGAAAUUUUUUU
Molecule: long non-coding RNA, 1782 nt
Organism: Arachis ipaensis
Lineage: Eukaryota; Viridiplantae; Streptophyta; Magnoliopsida; Fabales; Fabaceae
Source: RefSeq, a predicted model, not a curated record